CAGAGGGGGCCAGCGUUAUUCGGAAUUAUUGGGCGUAAAAGGCGCGUAGGCGGCUUUGCGUGUCUUCCGUGAAAUCCCUCGGCUCAACUGAGGACGUGCGGAAGAAACUGCAGGGCUGGAGUCCGGGAGAGGAGGGUGGAAUUCCCAGUGUAGCGGUGAAAUGCGUAGAUAUUGGGAGGAACACCGGUGGCGAAGGCGGCCCUCUGGACCGGUACUGACGCUGAUGCGCGAAAGCGUGGGGAGCAAACGGGAUUAGAUACCCCGGUAGUCCACGCCGUAAACGAUGGGCACUUGGUGUCGCGGGUAUCGACCCCUGCGGUGCCGAAGCUAACGCAUUAAGUGCCCCGCCUGGGGAGUACGAUCGCAAGGCUG
Molecule: ribosomal RNA, 372 nt
Filed under: uncultured organism
Description: bacterial SSU rRNA
Rfam family: Bacterial small subunit ribosomal RNA
Source: RNAcentral